Long non-coding RNA from Cygnus olor (mute swan), 1544 nucleotides. RefSeq lists it as uncharacterized. The transcript has 4 exons. The record is from RefSeq and is a predicted model, not a curated record. NCBI's taxonomy places the organism in Eukaryota, Metazoa, Chordata, Aves, Anseriformes, Anatidae.
UUUGUUUUGUUUUUUUUUUUCGUCAAAUGACGGCUUCUCCGAGUCUGUGACCAAAGCGAGUAACGGGUCACUUAGGACAAGAUCAAUCAGUAUGUAUUCCUGUGGGACUCCAUUGGUGAUCUUCCUCCGGUGAUUUUUUUAAGAGAGUGUAGAUACACAACUGAGAUCUCUCAACUAAACAAAAAUGUCAGGAACUGAGGAGAUGUAUGGGAACGGAUGAGAUGUACAGAAAAGGAACAUGUUGGAACUCCUUUAUCUUCUGGUAUUAACCAGGGUUCCUGCAGUCUGGUGUAUAAGGGCUUGAUCACAUGAAAAAAGAACGGCACAAAAACAGAAGUGCUAGACUGGUCUGAUUUUAAGGUGAUGUUCAUCAGAAAUGACUAAUUGAUGCUCCUUAAUUACAGGACAACUACAAGCAUUUGUGAUUUCUAUCAAGAUGUAUUAUUAGAAAAUUUUCAACCACUCGUGCUUAUUUUAAAGUUUCUGGGUAACCAGCAGGGUGUCAGCUAUUUAAGGUUACUAGUUGGUAAGUCAUACGGUACCCAGUCCCCACCUCCCCCAGUCUCCUUGCAGCUUCAGUUCUGGCGCCUUCAUGUCAAUAGAUGAAUUUAGAACCGGGCCUGAAGGAAGUCUUUGGGAGAUAAGCACACAUUACAACACUGUCCAGAAUAGGGAUGCGUCUUGUUGGACACCUUCCUGCUCUCCUAAACUCAGAAAUGUGCAAGUAUUUCUGACAAGAGUGACUGCUAUUGCUAAUGGAAAACUCAUUUACCACGAAUUACCUCCAUAUGCAGCUGCAUAAGAAAUGAAGUGUAAACACUGCUGUCAAUCAACAUUUUAAUUGCUCAAAUGUUUGUGGAAAGCCAAUUCAAGAUGAUAUGAACAUGUUAGAGCGAAGUCAUCCUGAAACUCUGGCACUGUGUUGUGAAAGUAUUUGCAGUGCUGACCCAUCUCCACCUGGAUUCUUUUAAGACGCUCUGGAGCUUUAUUGCUACUAGGAUUAUUUUUUUUUCUGGUUCUAAAAUUGGUCUUGUAAUAAUAGAAACAUGAAAUUCGCUGACAGAUUCCCCAGUGCACUAGGAUGAGCUGAAGCUGCUAUUUUAAGCACCCUUGUGAGAAAAGUGAUUGGUAGUAUAUGCAGUGAGCCCUGAUUCAGCAAGAAUUGUUGCAGGAUCCCUGCUUCAUGUUCAAGCCAUGAAAAACAUUGAAGAGGACCUCUACGUAAAUGAAUGGACAGAAACACUGCAAGGUGCUUGGGCAAGCUCACUUGUUAGUUAUAGAAGAUUACUCAGGAGAGUCCAGCUCCAGUCAGAGCCUCAGCUGAUGAAAAUGGGCAGGAAUUCAAUGAAUUCAACAAGGUUAAAAUGAUUUUACACUUACACAGGAUUUGAUCUGACAUCUGAGUAUGAAUUUAUUUUAAUCUCAGCUUAAUCACAACUAUGUGAAUUUAUUUUAAUCACAAUGUAAUCACAACUGCUGUCAGUUGAAUGUCCCUAUAUACAGCUGUUGUGCAACAAUCAUAAAACUGAACCCAAGAUAACCAU